This 300-nucleotide unclassified non-coding RNA is filed under the name uncultured fungus. RNAcentral's name for it is "sequence contains 5.8S rRNA gene, ITS2". The stretch from base 1 to 71 matches the Rfam family "5.8S ribosomal RNA", at positions 84 to 154 of the family's 154-position model. Lineage: Eukaryota; Fungi. The record is from RNAcentral.
GUGAGUCAUCGAAUCUUUGAACGCACAUUGCGCUCUUUGGUAUUCCGAAGAGCACGCCUGUUUGAGUAUCGAAAAAACCAUCACGACUUGGUCUUGGAGUUCGCUCCGAUCGACUUUGAGACGUGGAUUUGGAUUGUCCUGCCGGAUUCGUUCGGUCAGGCAGUCUCAAAAAAGAGCGUUGGAAGCUGGAUCUCCUCUUACUGGGAUCGCUGCCCGAAAUGUUAUGAAUUGAGGUCCCCUCUCUGAGGGGAUAUCUUCAUUUUUCUUUCUUGCAGUUCGAGCCCGGUGGAGAACCGGUCG